Molecule: ribosomal RNA, 253 nt
Filed under: uncultured bacterium
Lineage: Bacteria
Description: partial 16S ribosomal RNA
Rfam family: Bacterial small subunit ribosomal RNA
Source: RNAcentral
UACGAACUGUGCAAACGUUAUUCGGAAUCACUGGGCUUAAAGGGUGCGUAGGCGGCUGUCUAAGUAGGGUGUGAAAGCCCCCGGCUCAACCGGGGAAUUGCGCCCUAAACUGGAUGGCUGGAGUGAGGCAGUGGUGUGUGGAACUUCCGGUGGAGCGGUGAAAUGUGUUGAUAUCGGAAGGAACUCCGGUGCCUAAAGCGACACACUGGGUCUCAACUGACUCUUAGACACGAAAUCCAGCAUAUCAAACUUC